RNAcentral lists this non-coding RNA (45 nucleotides) under Schistosoma curassoni. Lineage: Eukaryota; Metazoa; Platyhelminthes; Trematoda; Strigeidida; Schistosomatidae. The record is from RNAcentral.
AUUCAGCUGACGAGUCCCAAAUAGGACGAAACGCGCGUUGUGGAU